Molecule: long non-coding RNA, 1061 nt
Filed under: Chinchilla lanigera (long-tailed chinchilla)
Lineage: Eukaryota; Metazoa; Chordata; Mammalia; Rodentia; Chinchillidae
Description: lncRNA (ENSCLAG00000028410.1)
Source: RNAcentral
AUGAGUUUAGAAAAAAAUGGAUUAAACACCAGUCUGGAGUCUGACAUAAGUGGACUUGGAAACCAAGCCUUGCUACUUCUUAGCUGCACAGCUAAGGGUCUAUUCGAACUUCAGUUUCUAUAUCUGAAAAAUGCUGUCCAGGCUGAAGGAUGCGGUGGGUUACCAGAAGAGAUGAAGAAGAAAUUCACAUCAGGAGUAUUAAUGGAUGAAAUUUUACCUACACUUCCACAUCUUCUACACCACUGGUGCCAUUUCCCCCCCCACCAAAUCUUCAGGAUCAGCUUUUGAAGUAAAUCUGUGAUUCUCCGUUGUGCUGAAGAACUUCCUGCACACUCACUCCUUCAUCCUUCAGUGGAAUCCCUGGAAGCAUCUUUGGGUUGGAGUAGGUGUGUAAAGGGAAUCAUCAGGAGCAUGCACGUCAUUAGGAGACCACAAGCAUCCUGCACUGAAACUACUACUUCUCUCUUCUACUUCUCCAGACUAUGUGGCCAGUGUCCUUUGCCUACCGUAGUCUAGAUUAGCAGGGAAUUUUUUCUUCUGGUCUUUACUCUAGUUUUCCCUUACCUUUCAUGGUUGUUGGGGAAAUAGCCCCAAGAAAGAGAAGGUAAAAUCUUUCUUACAGUCUCAUGGAAAGAGAAGAGAGAAGAGAUUGGGAGGGGUGAAGAAUAAGAAGAGGAAGAGGGAAAGAGGAGAAGGAAGAACAGAAGAGGAGUUGUGGGGAGGACGGGAGGUGCAGAAGAAAGAUGUGGCUGGGGAGGAAAGGCAGAGGAGGAGAAGAAGGUAAAGGGAGAUGAAAACAACCCUGAAAGGAAGCAAAAGAGGAAGGGAGGAGGAGCACAAAAAGCAAGGAAGAGGAGAGGAAGAAAAGGAGGAGGACAAUGAGGACUGUAGAAAGAGGAGGAGGAGGAAUGUGGAGGAGAUGGAGGAGAAGGAUAAGAAGAGCAGCGGAGGAAGAGGAGGAGGCAGGGAGGAUGAGAUAGUGGUGAGGAGACAAAGAAGAGGAGGUAGAGGAGAAAGGAGGGAGCAGAUGAUUGACGAUCUUGGACUAAAUAAACUUUGCC